UACGUAGGGGGCAAGCGUUAUCCGGAUUUACUGGGUGUAAAGGGAGCGUAGACGGCGAUGCAAGCCAGAUGUGAAAGCCCGGGGCUCAACCCCGGGACUGCAUUUGGAACUGUGUAGCUAGAGUAUCGGAGAGGCAGGCGGAAUUCCUAGUGUAGCGGUGAAAUGCGUAGAUAUUAGGAGGAACACCAGUGGCGAAGGCGGCCUGCUGGACGAUGACUGACGUUGAGGCUCGAAAGCGUGGGUAUCAAACAGG
RNAcentral lists this ribosomal RNA (253 nucleotides) under uncultured bacterium. RNAcentral's name for it is "partial 16S ribosomal RNA". It matches the Rfam family "Bacterial small subunit ribosomal RNA", at positions 524 to 776 of the family's 1533-position model. The record is from RNAcentral.